GCCCAAGAGACUGGGAUAACACCUGGAAACAGAUGCUAAUACCGGAUAACAACACUAGACGCAUGUCUAGAGUUUAAAAGAUGGUUCUGCUAUCACUCUUGGAUGGACCUGCGGUGCAUUAGCUAGUUGGUAAGGUAACGGCUUACCAAGGNCAAUGAUGCAUAGCCGAGUUGAGAGACUGAUCGGCCACAUUGGGACUGAGACACGGUCCAAACUCCUACGGGAGGCAGCAGCC
RNAcentral lists this ribosomal RNA (235 nucleotides) under uncultured bacterium. Its description in RNAcentral is "partial 16S ribosomal RNA". It matches the Rfam family "Bacterial small subunit ribosomal RNA", at positions 128 to 355 of the family's 1533-position model. The record is from RNAcentral.